AGCUUUUUGACCGUAUUUUCUCCAUCUAUAACCAUCUUCAAGAAAAUCAACCUCACUUUUUGUCAUAAACGCAAAUCUCGGCUCUUUCUGUUUCUUCUGACUCACUGUUUUCUUCGCUUUCAACUGUUGUUUAGCGUUUGUGUUUUUUUGGUCAUGAUUUUCUACUUCCCCAUCAGCAUCUCCAUGUCCUUCAGAGGAAAUGGAGGAGCAAUUAGGGGUAGAUGGCGUAUUCAAUACGUUACCUGUAGCAACUACAGUAGUAGUACUACUUUUUUGUUUCUCAGCUGCUGCUACAGAUGAUGAUGAUGGCGGCUUUAGUUCUUCUUCAGAUACACAAACAGCAGGAUAGUGAUUUUCUUCUUUAGGUAACUCAAAAACUGAACAAAAGUCUUGAUGAAAACCCAAUAACUCCAUGAAACCCAGAGAUGAUGGGUUAAUGCUGUAAUCUGAGAUGAAUGAGUGGUUAUUAGUAACUCCAAAACCGUUGUU
This 489-nucleotide unclassified non-coding RNA is filed under the name Hevea brasiliensis (rubber tree). Lineage: Eukaryota; Viridiplantae; Streptophyta; Magnoliopsida; Malpighiales; Euphorbiaceae. The record is from RNAcentral.